RNAcentral lists this ribosomal RNA (253 nucleotides) under uncultured bacterium. RNAcentral's name for it is "partial 16S ribosomal RNA". It matches the Rfam family "Bacterial small subunit ribosomal RNA", at positions 524 to 776 of the family's 1533-position model. The record is from RNAcentral.
UACGUAGGGUGCGAGCGUUAAUCGGAAUUACUGGGCGUAAAGCGCGCGUAGGUGGUUCAGUAAGUUGGAAGUGAAAUCCCCGGGCUCAACCUGGGAACUGCUUUCAAAACUGGCCAACUAGAAUACGGGAGAGGGGGGUAGAAUUCCAAGUGUAGCGGUGAAAUGCGUAGAGAUUUGGAGGAAUACCAGUGGCGAAGGCGGCCCCCUGGCCCGAUAUUGACGCUGAGGUGCGAAAGCGUGGGGAGCAAACAGG